AAGUCGUAACAAGGUUUCCGUAGGUGAACCUGCGGAAGGAUCAUUAACUCAUGAUUUAACCAUCAUGUUUUAAAAUAAACACAUUAAACUAACUAAACACUCUGUGAACUAUAUAACAAUCGAAAUAUGGAAAGAGAGGUGAUUUUUUGGCUGGCAACAGCUAAGGAGUUAUUUUUUCUUUUCAUGUUAUAACCAACUUAAUUUAUUUUUAACAACAUAUUAACCAAAAUUUUACCGUACAUGCCUAUGUCUGUCGAGUUAUUUACGAUGGGCAACAAGGUCUGACUGAACUAAAACUUCAUUAUCCUAACAGAGGUGAUUUUAAUAAAUAACAAAUAUAUACAACUCUUAACAAUGGAUAUCUUGGCUCUC
Molecule: unclassified non-coding RNA, 372 nt
Filed under: fungal sp.
Lineage: Eukaryota; Fungi
Description: partial internal transcribed spacer region
Rfam family: Eukaryotic small subunit ribosomal RNA (bases 1-46)
Source: RNAcentral